RNAcentral lists this ribosomal RNA (496 nucleotides) under uncultured bacterium. RNAcentral describes it as "partial 16S ribosomal RNA". It matches the Rfam family "Bacterial small subunit ribosomal RNA", at positions 28 to 506 of the family's 1533-position model. The record is from RNAcentral.
GAUGAACGCUGGCGGCGUGCCUAAUACAUGCAAGUCGAGCGAACAGACGAGGAGCUUGCUCCUCUGACGUUAGCGGCGGACGGGUGAGUAACACGUGGAUAACCUACCUAUAAGACUGGGAUAACUUCGGGAAACCGGAGCUAAUACCGGAUAAUAUAUUGAACCGCAUGGUUCAAUAGUGAAAGACGGUUUUGCUGUCACUUAUAGAUGGAUCCGCGCCGCAUUAGCUAGUUGGUAAGGUAACGGCUUACCAAGGCAACGAUGCGUAGCCGACCUGAGAGGGUGAUCGGCCACACUGGAACUGAGACACGGUCCAGACUCCGACGGGAGGCAGCAGUAGGGAAUCUGCCGCAAUGGGCGAAAGCCUGACGGAGCAACGCCGCGUGAGUGAUGAAGGUCUGCGGAUCGUAAAACUCUGUUAUUAGGGAAGAACAAAUGUGUAAGUAACUAUGCACGUCUUGACGGUACCUAAUCAGAAAGCCACGGCUAACUACGG